CUUCGGAGCUAGUGGCGGACGGGUGAGUAACGCGUGAGAAUCUGCCUCCAGGUCUGGGACAACAGAAGGAAACUUCUGCUAAUCCCGGAUGAGCCCUUGGGUAAAAGAUAUAUAUUGCCUGGAGAUGAGCUCGCGUCUGAUUAGCUAGUUGGUGUGAUAAAAGCAUACCAAGGCAACGAUCAGUAGCUGGUCUGAGAGGAUGACCAGCCACACUGGGACUGAGACACGGCCCAGACUCCUACGGGAGGCAGCAGUGGGGAAUUUUCCGCAAUGGGCGAAAGCCUGACGGAACAAGACCGCGUGGGGGAGGAAAGCUCUAGGGUUGUAAACCCCUUUUCUUUGGGAAGAAG
Molecule: ribosomal RNA, 350 nt
Filed under: uncultured bacterium
Lineage: Bacteria
Description: bacterial SSU rRNA
Rfam family: Bacterial small subunit ribosomal RNA
Source: RNAcentral